UGCAUGCGCAAGAGGGAGAAAGACUAUGCCAAAGAGAAAGAAUGAGAAGGUGAGGACAAGUGAAAGGCUAUGAGAGACAGGCAGGGCCAGGGAGCCUCCAAGAACAGUUUCUCCCCAUUAGUUCUCCCUGUGGGGCCACAGUUAGAACUAGGGUCCCUUCGUCCCACCCCGUGCGCCCAUUAGUCCAGCUUCGACGUGGGCCGUCUUUCCCCACCACGUGGACCGCCUGGGCCACGUAAAGGGCUCCGUGGGGCAGCCCCAGCCUCCGGGCCCAUCUGUUAAAGCAGAGCGUCCAUCUCUGAAGUGCGAGCGGGAAUGGAAGCCCAGCUCCAGUGACUGAGACGGUGGAGACGGCCCCACAGUCGGCCGAGAGAAGGCGCCCGCGCGAGAGCAGCACAGGGGAAGGCAUUUGAAAGCAUGUACUGUGAGAAGGACAUCUCACAGGUUGGGCCCGGCUCCCCCUGAAGCUGUGGCAACAGAGAGACCCUAGAACUACUAACACGUGCCAGCCAAAAAGGUCAUCUUAAUCAGGUCUUUGAUUACUAAAGAAACCUGGAUUUUUUCCUUAGUAAAAGCUAACCUUCAAUAUUGAAAAUGCCCUCGCUGACUUUGAUGCAAAGGCAGCAGUCACAAAAGGCUGUGGAUACGUUCCCUGACAUUACUGAAGGGCAUCUGUGAUUGGGUUAAGCUCUUGAGAUGGAGAAAGUAUUCUGUACUAUCCGGGUGGGCCCAGUGUAACCACGGGGGUCCUUAUUAGAGGGACGUCAGAAUCAGAGAAGGAAAUGUGAGGAUGGAAACAGGAGUAGGAGAUAUACAGGGCUAUGAGCCAAGGAAUUCAGGAAGCUUCUAGAAGCUGGAUACAGCAAGGAAUCAUAUUUUUUUCUGUUUAAGAUUCCAGAAUAACAUAGCCCUUCUAACCCAUUUCAGACUUCUGACACCCAUAACAAUGAGAUAAUAAACUUGUACUUUUUUAAGCCACUAAAUUCAUACUAAUUUGUUACAAAAGGAAACUAAUACAGCUUCAUGCUCAGCAAGAGCUUCAAAUUUACUAUUACACAUACACAUACACAUACACAGGCAAAAUCUGUCCAUUAAAAGUCCAGCCAUUGUUACUAUAACAAGAACAGUUUGUAUGACAUGGAUGUUACCUGCCAGCCAAAGAGAUUGGACUGGAAUGUGCAUGCAUGAACAAUGACAACUUCACUGUUCUAGUCAGUGGGGAG
Molecule: long non-coding RNA, 1223 nt
Organism: Phyllostomus discolor (pale spear-nosed bat)
Lineage: Eukaryota; Metazoa; Chordata; Mammalia; Chiroptera; Phyllostomidae
Exons: 3
Source: RefSeq, a predicted model, not a curated record